AAAAACAAAAAUUUAAAAGGUAAUUAUUGAUAAGCCUUAAAGAUCGUAUUCAUUAAACUUUAUUUCUCCUAUACACCAGUUAUAGUGUUAGAACCUGGGGGAAAACAGCCCUAUGAUUAAAAUUAGUGAAGUCCCUCCCUGUCUUUGAGGAAUUUACAGUUAUGUGACAGGUAUGCUGGCUAAAUGAGCUUUUAAGUUGGGGAUGCUUUCUUUACUUGCCUUUUUAAAAUUCCUUUUCUUUGACUUUUGUAUGUGACCAUUGAUGACAUUAACCUUCAGAGGUGAGAAAUCGAAAACUCUUAGAUUCUGCCGUCUGUCUCAUCUCACUGGAGAUUGUUUAAUAUGAUGUAGGUUGUACUUUAUAGUAGUCUUUUUCACUCUGGCAUCCUUCUAUCUAGGGCACCAGAACAAGCACCUCUGAAAAGUAAAAUGAUCUAUGCAAGCUCGAAGGACGCCAUCAAGAAGAAAUUUCCAGGUAUAAAGCACGAGUAUCAAGCAAAUGGGCCAGAAGACCUCAAUCGGACUAGUAUUGCUGAAAAGCUAGGUGGCUCCUUAAUUGUAGCGUUCGAAGGAUCCCCUGUGUAGAUUAUCAGUCAGUGCCACGAAUUGAAAGCUUCCAUAUUUAACACUAUCCUUUCACUAUAUAAGUAAAGCAAAUAUAUUAGGCCAGGAUCUCACUGAGGGGAAUUUGUCUUGUCAUCUUUUAGAGUAAACUAAAAAUUUUAUAGUGUCUGCAAAUACUACCCUACAUAAAUCUAGCCUCUAAAGUUUCAUUGGUGUGGAAUUAAAUUCUUAU
This 796-nucleotide long non-coding RNA is filed under the name Rattus norvegicus (Norway rat). RNAcentral describes it as "long non-coding RNA NONRATT018664". The record is from RNAcentral. Lineage: Eukaryota; Metazoa; Chordata; Mammalia; Rodentia; Muridae.